Lolium perenne is the source of this 1513-nucleotide non-coding RNA. The record is from RefSeq and is a predicted model, not a curated record. Lineage: Eukaryota; Viridiplantae; Streptophyta; Magnoliopsida; Poales; Poaceae.
UGUAGCUAUCUGUUUGUUGUCUCCUGUCCAGGGCAUCAUAAAUAUAUUGGUCUUGUCUUGUUCUUUACUACUAGUCCUACUCAUGCCUCCCUGAUGGACUUUGUUCCUCUUCAAGUUAUUUCGGUUUCCAAGUACUUGCUUGCUUCUCAUUGCGACAAUGCUUGUAGAAACGUAUAUACAUAUGAAUUUUCAAGCUUGUGUGUAGCUCAGUCAAGUGUUUGCUGUUGGCACCCUCAAGUUCAUCCCCAUCUCUUUUGGUUAAUAAAUAAUUUCUUGCUGCUGCUCGUCCUGAAUAUGGAGCGUGUCUUGAAGCUGAAUAAUGUCCAACAGGUUCAGGACGACUUCCUCCACCGGACGCGGGGGAAAAGAACGAGUUCAAUGGAUAGGAUUAUCACGAGGAGGACUGUAUGGUAGCUGGAAGAAGCUGUAGUAGCUGCCCGCAGCAGCCUCAUGCUCAUGGCAAGGGCUCCAGCGGUGCUGCUGCUGCUGGGUACACCCUCGCCUCCCACGCCGCAACCGUGGGGUGCUGGCAAUGGCUACACCAUCUCCGGUGAUCUGCUCAGAGUUUUGAACAAGAUGGCUAGUGGUGGGAUAUAUCGACUUGGUCACUCGGGAUGCCGCUCACCACCGUGCUCACUGCGAGAUCCUUCCUGCACCAGGAAAAGUGGAUGCAGAGUUUUGAACAAGCUGGCUGGCAGGAGAUAUUGAGUUCACCAACUUGGUCGCCUGGCAUGCUACUCGCCGCCCUGCUCACUACGAGGUCCUACCCGUACCAGGCAAAGUGGAUGUUGCAGGUAGUUAUUCUUUGAGCUAUGCAUUUCUUCCACUGUUCUGUGGAAAUCAAAUCGUGUUCGCAAUUAUCUCUGUGGAGGUCUAGAGAAUAGUACAUACGGAUUUUCAUUUACAGCCUAAACUCAUCCUAUUACAUCAUAUGAGUUUUAUUUCCACAAAUUCUUAGAUUAUGCAAUUCUUGCACAUAUCAGAGUGUAUAUUAUAGAUAUAGUACUGCCACUUGAUAAAAUGACCAUUACAGUGCCUUCAACCUUAUCUAAUGUCCAGUAGUUUUCUCUCUUUCUUGGUGAUCAGAGUUUAGAAUGAGAUUGCUGUAUGUAAUUCUGUGUACGUGUGUGUGUGUGUGUUGAUGAUUAACCGAAACUGAAAUACCUUUUCAUCAAGUCUGUUUGUAACCUGGCAUUUUCUUAUGUCUCAGCUUCGCUCUCUGAACAUUUAAACUAGCCAUUAUCCGAGAUGUACUUUUUCCAUAUUAGUACAUGGUUAGGUUUUCCUCAUUCUCCAAACAAAUGUUUUCUUGUCCCUUCGUAUUAACUACGGCGCACCAAAUCAGGGCUGCUACUAGAGCCGGAUUCAUAGCCUGAUUUUCUUAAGUUUGACCACAGAGAUAGUAAAACUAACGACUUAUUCACUUGGUUUCCUUUUGUUGUUGUUGUAGAUUAAUUUGUUAGCAGUCAUUUCUGUACACGUCUGAUUAGGACUCCAUUCUAAUGAAAGCUGA